RNAcentral lists this long non-coding RNA (656 nucleotides) under Capsicum annuum. RNAcentral's name for it is "long non-coding RNA (CANN_LNC016755)". The record is from RNAcentral. Lineage: Eukaryota; Viridiplantae; Streptophyta; Magnoliopsida; Solanales; Solanaceae.
AGGGAGGAGAAAGUAAAAGAUUUAGGCUAGUGGACCCAAAUCAAUGAGACAUAUCCUAGUCUAAUUGGGCUUUCGACCCAUUUCACCUGUCCUAAUCUAGUUUUCGAGCCUUUGGCUCGAGUUCGUUCCACUUGUAUUAGUUUACAAAUUUAGCUUCGAGGCCCAAAUGAAUAACUAAAGAAAUAAAUAAAAAAAUACGAUAACAAUAAAUAAAUAACGACAACAAAUAAAUAAACAGAAAUGAGGCUUGGGUUUCAUCGUCGCUUCAAGAAUGGAACUUUAAUCCAUUUCCGUUCUUUUGACUCCUUGUAUCCAAUAUGCUAUGUAAUCGGCUUUGGAUUUCCUUUUGGGCUUGACCCGAUAGGCAUAGUGGGCCCAAUGGCCCAUUUAGACGCAAAGGGAAAGAACCCAUUGGGGCUCCGAAAUGGAUUACAUGCAAAGAAAGAAGAAAUAAAAUACAUUAACAUAUUCGACAAAGGUAAGAAGAAAGGAAAAGUAAAGGAAAUCAAUGCAUGCUCAACCAAAGUAGGAAACUAGAAUGGUUAAUAGGAGGAGAAAAAAAUGGUAAUUAAGACGUGAUCAACAAAGAAUAAAUAAGAAUUAACAUGUGUUUCACUAAAAGAAACAACGUAAUACGAUCCUAAUCAGCAAUCAAG